This 510-nucleotide ribosomal RNA is filed under the name uncultured bacterium. Its description in RNAcentral is "bacterial SSU rRNA". It matches the Rfam family "Bacterial small subunit ribosomal RNA", at positions 975 to 1482 of the family's 1533-position model. The record is from RNAcentral.
CAGCCCUUGACAUCCCGGUCGCGGACUCCAGAGACGGAGUUCUUCAGUUCGGCUGGACCGGAGACAGGUGCUGCAUGGCUGUCGUCAGCUCGUGUCGUGAGAUGUUGGGUUAAGUCCCGCAACGAGCGCAACCCCCGUCCUUAGUUGCUACCAUUUAGUUGAGCACUCUAAGGAGACUGCCGGUGAUAAGCCGCGAGGAAGGUGGGGAUGACGUCAAGUCCUCAUGGCCCUUACGGGCUGGGCUACACACGUGCUACAAUGGCGGUGACAAUGGGAUGCUAAGGGGCGACCCUUCGCAAAUCUCAAAAAGCCGUCUCAGUUCGGAUUGGGCUCUGCAACUCGAGCCCAUGAAGUUGGAAUCGCUAGUAAUCGUGGAUCAGCACGCCACGGUGAAUACGUUCCCGGGCCUUGUACACACCGCCCGUCACACCAUGGGAGUUGGUUUUACCUGAAGACGGUGCGCUAACCGAAAGGGGGCAGCCGGCCACGGUAGGGUCAGCGACUGGGGUG